CCUACGGGUGGCUGCAGUGGGGAAUUUUGGACAAUGGGCGCAAGCCUGAUCCAGCCAUGCCGCGUGAGUGAAGAAGGCCUUCGGGUUGUAAAGCUCUUUCGGCCGGGAAGAAAUCGCAUGGGUUAAUACCCUGUGCGGAUGACGGUACCGGCAUAAGAAGCACCGGCUAACUACGUGCCAGCAGCCGCGGUAAUACGUAGGGUGCGAGCGUUAAUCGGACUUGCUGGGCGGAUUUCGUGCGCAGGCGGUGAAAUCCCCGGGCUCAACCUGGGAACUGCGCUUAUGACUGGCAAGCUAGAGUACGGCAGAGGGGGGUGGAAUUCCACGUGUAGCAGUGAAAUGCGUAGAGAUGUGGAGGAACACCAAUGGCGAAGGCAGCCCCCUGGGUCGAUACUGACGCUCAUGCACGAAAGCGUGGGUAGCAAACAGGAUUAGAUACCCGAGUAGUC
Molecule: ribosomal RNA, 449 nt
Filed under: uncultured bacterium
Lineage: Bacteria
Description: partial 16S ribosomal RNA
Rfam family: Bacterial small subunit ribosomal RNA
Source: RNAcentral